UGCAAGUCGAACGAGCGAGAGAGAGCUUGCUUUCUCGAGCGAGUGGCGAACGGGUGAGUAACGCGUGAGGAACCUGCCUCAAAGAGGGGGACAACAGUUGGAAACGACUGCUAAUACCGCAUAAGCCCACGACCCGGCAUCGGGUAGAGGGAAAAGGAGCAAUCCGCUUUGAGAUGGCCUCGCGUCCGAUUAGCUAGUUGGUGAGGUAACGGCCCACCAAGGCGACGAUCGGUAGCCGGACUGAGAGGUUGAACGGCCACAUUGGGACUGAGACACGGCCCAGACUCCUACGGGAGGCAGCAGUGGGGAAUAUUGCACAAUGGGGGAAACCCUGAUGCAGCGACGCCGCGUGGAGGAAGAAGGUCUUCGGAUUGUAAACUCCUGUUGUUGAGGAAGAUAAUGACGGUACUCAACAAGGAAGUGACGGCUAACUACGUGCCAGCAGCCGCGGUAAAACGUAGGUCACAAGCGUUGUCCGGAAUUACUGGGUGUAAAGGGAGCGCAGGCGGGAAGACAAGUUGGAAGUGAAAUCCAUGGGCUCAACCCAUGAACUGCUUUCAAAACUGUUUUUCUUGAGUAGUGCAGAGGUAGGCGGAAUUCCCGGUGUAGCGGUGGAAUGCGUAGAUAUCGGGAGGAACACCAGUGGCGAAGGCGGCCUACUGGGCACCAACUGACGCUGAGGCUCGAAAGUGUGGGUAGCAAACAGGAUUAGAUACCCUGGUAGUCCACACCGUAAACGAUGAUUACUAGGUGUUGGAGGAUUGACCCCUUCAGUGCCGCAGUUAACACAAUAAGUAAUCCACCUGGGGAGUACGACCGCAAGGUUGAAACUCAAAGGAAUUGACGGGGGCCCGCA
RNAcentral lists this ribosomal RNA (856 nucleotides) under uncultured bacterium. RNAcentral describes it as "bacterial SSU rRNA". It matches the Rfam family "Bacterial small subunit ribosomal RNA", at positions 56 to 925 of the family's 1533-position model. The record is from RNAcentral.